UCGCCUGUUUAUCAAAAACAUCUUCUCUUGAAUGUAAAUAUGAGAUUUAACCUGCCCGUUGAGUAUUUGAAAGGCCGCAGUAUUUUAACUGUGCAAAGGUAGCAUAAUCAUUAGUCUUUUAAUUGGAGGCUUGUAUGAAUGGUUGGACGAGAUAUCAGCUGUUUCAAUUAAAUUUUUAAUAGAAUUUUAUUUUUUAGUAAAAAAGCUAAAAUAUGUUUGGAGGACGAGAAGACCCUAUAGAUUUUUAUAAUUAGUUUAAUAUAGUUAAUUAGAAGUAUUAAAUUAUGUUAAAUUAUAUUAUUUUGUUGGGGUGACAUUGAAAUUUAAAUAACUUUCAAUUUUUAUAUACAAUGAUUGUUGGAUAAUUGAUCCAUUAUUAAUGAUUAUAAGAUUAAAUUACCUUAGGGAUAACAGCGUAAUUUUUCUUGAGAGUUCAUAUCGAUAGAAGAGAUUGCGACCUCGAUGUUGGAUUAAAAUAUAAUACUAGGCGCAGCAGUUUAGUUUUUAAGUCUGUUCGACUUGUAAGUUUUUACAUGAUCUGAGUUCAAAACCGGAGA
RNAcentral lists this ribosomal RNA (557 nucleotides) under Creolestes nigribarbis. RNAcentral's name for it is "partial 16S ribosomal RNA". It matches the Rfam family "Bacterial large subunit ribosomal RNA", at positions 1796 to 2624 of the family's 2925-position model. The record is from RNAcentral. Lineage: Eukaryota; Metazoa; Arthropoda; Insecta; Diptera; Asilidae.